GCUCAACCGAGGAAGUGCUUCGAAAACUGGUAAACUUGAGUGCAGAAGAGGAAAGUGGAACUCCAUGUGUAGCGGUGGAAUGCGUAGAUAUAUGGAAGAACACCAGUGGCGAAGGCGGCUUUCUGGUCUGUAACUGACGCUGAGAUUCGAAAGCAUGGGUAGCAAACAGGAUUAGAUACCCUGGUAGUCCAUGCCGUAAACGAUGAGUGCUAAGUGUUGGAGGGUUUCCGCCCUUCAGUGCUGCAGCUAACGCAUUAAGCACUCCGCCUGGGGAGUACGAUCGCAAGAUUGAAACUCAAAGGAAUUGACGGGGGCCCGCACAAGCGGUGGAGCAUGUGGUUUAAUUCGAAGCAACGCGAAGAACCUUACCAGGUCUUGACAUACCAUGAAAAGCUAAGAGAUUAGUCUUUCCCUUCGGGGACAUGGAUACAGGUGGUGCAUGGUUGUCGUCAGCUCGUGUCGUGAGAUGUUGGGUUAAGUCCCGCAACGAGCGCAACCCUUAUUAUCAGUUGCCAGCAUUCAGUUGGGCACUCUGGUGAGACUGCCGGUGACAAACCGGAGGAAGGUGGGGACGACGUCAAAUCAUCAUGCCCCUUAUGACCUGCGCUACACACGUGCUACAAUGGUCGGUACAACG
RNAcentral lists this ribosomal RNA (637 nucleotides) under uncultured bacterium. RNAcentral describes it as "bacterial SSU rRNA". It matches the Rfam family "Bacterial small subunit ribosomal RNA", at positions 607 to 1244 of the family's 1533-position model. The record is from RNAcentral.